CAGAGGGUGCGAGCGUUAAUCGGAAUUACUGGGCGUAAAGCGCGCGUAGGCGGCUUUGCAAGUCGGGUGUGAAAUCCCCAGGCUUAACCUGGGAACUGCAUUCGAGACUGCAUUGCUAGAGUAUGGGAGAGGGAAGUGGAAUUUCCUGUGUAGCGGUGAAAUGCGUAGAUAUCGGAAGGAACAUCAGUGGCGAAAGCGACUUCCUGGACCAAUACUGACGCUCAUGUGCGAAAGCGUGGGGAGCAAACAGGAUUAGAUACCCUGGUAGUCCACGCCAUAAACGAUGAGAACUGGAUGUCGGGAGGGUCUGCCUCUCGGUGUCGUAGCUAACGCGUUAAGUUCUCCGCCUGGGGAGUACGGCCGCAAGGUUG
RNAcentral lists this ribosomal RNA (371 nucleotides) under uncultured organism. RNAcentral's name for it is "bacterial SSU rRNA". It matches the Rfam family "Bacterial small subunit ribosomal RNA", at positions 526 to 896 of the family's 1533-position model. The record is from RNAcentral.